RNAcentral lists this ribosomal RNA (484 nucleotides) under uncultured bacterium. RNAcentral describes it as "partial 16S ribosomal RNA". It matches the Rfam family "Bacterial small subunit ribosomal RNA", at positions 29 to 507 of the family's 1533-position model. The record is from RNAcentral.
AUUGAACGCUGGCGGCAUGCUUUACACAUGCAAGUCGAACGGCAGCGCGGGCUUCGGCCUGGCGGCGAGUGGCGAACGGGUGAGUAAUACAUCGGAACGUGCCCAGGAGUGGGGGAUAGCUCGGCGAAAGCCGGAUUAAUACCGCAUACGACCUGAGGGUGAAAGCGGGGGAUCUUCGGACCUCGCGAUAUGGGAGCGGCCGAUGGCAGAUUUGCUAGUUGGUGGGGUAAAGGCCUACCAAGGCGACGAUCUGUAGCUGGUCUGAGAGGGCGACCAGCCACACUGGAACUGAGACACGGCCCCGACUCCUACGGGACGCAGCAGUGUGGAAUUUUGGACAAUGGGCGAAAGCCUGAUCCAGCAAUGCCGCGUGUGUGAUGAAGGCCUUCGGGUUGUAAAGCACUUUUGGCGGGAACGAAAAGGACUGUGCCAAUACCACGGUUCGAUGACGGUACCCGCAGAAUAAGCACCGGCUAACUACGUG